Long non-coding RNA from Dromaius novaehollandiae (emu), 827 nucleotides. RefSeq lists it as uncharacterized. The transcript is spliced from 3 exons. The record is from RefSeq and is a predicted model, not a curated record. Lineage: Eukaryota; Metazoa; Chordata; Aves; Casuariiformes; Dromaiidae.
CAUCCCCAGCCUCCCCAGCCCGGCGCUUCCCUGCUCUCCUGCCUGCAAAGCGCCCUCUGGAAAGCAUCGAGACUUCUUUUAUGAGCCGUGUGCGGCCCCAGCCCUGAAGAAGAGCUCACCCAGGGGUGAGGCUGAGGCACACCUGAGCAUUUGGCGUGAACCUGUGACCGCAUAUGUGCUUGCACAGAGACACCUUUGAGAGAAUGUCCCGAGACAGUGUUACAGAUUUUGGUGUCAUUCUGGAACUUGGAAAAAUUCUUCUCUGGCCAUAAAGAAGACUCUUCCUGGAGUGUAGGCGAGGGUGUACACGGAGACUGUGCACAAAGUACGGAAUCGUAUUUUGUAUUUUAUUUUUCAGCAGCAACAGUGAGUGCACAUUUUGCAGCCUCUGAAUACUGCAAAUGCCAAAUGAGCAAAGUCUGAAGCAACAGAUACUCUUUCUCCAGCUCGUUCCACUUGCUCUGGAAAUACCUGAUUUGAAGACUUUACUGUUCCUAAAUUUUAAUUCUGCAAGGAGAGACAGAUGAGGAGGAAAAGCCAUGAGCACUAGCAGCGACUCCAACAGGCACAGGCUCUUGGUUGCCUGGAGUGGCAUUUCGGUUCAGUGAGGCCAUGAUCCUACAACUGACUGCACCCAUGUCCCCAUAUAUCCAGCUGAGGUUCCUGAAGCCACGCAUAGGAUCAGUAGGAGGAGUUUCACAUACGGUCAGUAGCAGACUGAGUCACAUCACGCAAGGACAGAGUUGUUCUUAGUCCCUGAGCUUGGCUGGUGCUUCUGGACAUAACUGUAAUUUAGGUUAUUUAACAUUAAAAAUGAUUAAUGUGUU